UACAGAGGGUGCAAGCGUUGUUCGGAAUUAUUGGGCGUAAAGGGUGCGUAGGUGGCGUCGUAAGUGGGGUGUGAAAUCCCGGGGCUUAACCCCGGGACUGCAUUCCAUACUGCGGCGCUUGAGGACUGGAGAGGAGACUGGAAUUUACGGUGUAGCAGUGAAAUGCGUAGAGAUCGUAAGGAAGACCAGUGGCGAAGGCGGGUCUCUGGACAGUUCCUGACACUGAGGCACGAAGGCCAGGGGAGCAAACGGG
Molecule: ribosomal RNA, 253 nt
Filed under: uncultured bacterium
Lineage: Bacteria
Description: partial 16S ribosomal RNA
Rfam family: Bacterial small subunit ribosomal RNA
Source: RNAcentral